RNAcentral lists this ribosomal RNA (506 nucleotides) under uncultured bacterium. Its description in RNAcentral is "partial 16S ribosomal RNA". The stretch from base 61 to 506 matches the Rfam family "Bacterial small subunit ribosomal RNA", at positions 39 to 507 of the family's 1533-position model. The record is from RNAcentral.
GGGGGGGGGGGGGGGGGGGGGGGGGGGGGGGGGGGGGGGCGGGGGGGGGGGGGGGGGUGGGGGGCGUGGGGGGGUGGCGAGCGGGGGGGGAGGACGGGAGUAGCCUGCCCCCUUCGGCUGGGUAACCGCAUGAGAGGGUGGCUACUACGGGAGAUUCUGGGUCUGUCGCAUGGUGGGCCUGGGACAGAUUGCGCCUUUUUUGGUGGUUUUGGGGGGGGCUGGGCUCGCGGCCUGUCAGCUUGUUGGUGGGGUGAUGGCCUACCACGGCGGUGACGGGUAGCCGGCCUGAGAGGGGGGACGGUCACACUGGGACUGAGACACGGCGCAGACUCCUACGGGGGGCAGCAGUGGGGAAUAUGGCACAAGGGGCGCAAGCCUGAUGCAGCGACGCCGCGUGAGGGAUGGAGGCCUUCGGGUUGUGAACCUCUUUCGCCAGUGAAGCAGGCCUGCCUCUUUGUGUGGGUGGGUUGACGGUAGCUGGAUAAGAAGCGCCGGCUAACUACGUG